UGUAGCGCAGCUUGGCUAGCGCGCUUGAAUGGGGUUCAAGAGGUCGUGGGUUCAAAUCCCGCCA
Molecule: transfer RNA, 64 nt
Filed under: Planctomycetes bacterium RIFCSPHIGHO2_12_42_15
Lineage: Bacteria; Pseudomonadati; Planctomycetota
Description: tRNA-Pro
Rfam family: tRNA
About the family: Transfer RNA (tRNA) molecules are approximately 80 nucleotides in length.
Source: RNAcentral